Molecule: transfer RNA, 61 nt
Filed under: Pseudoniphargus mercadali
Lineage: Eukaryota; Metazoa; Arthropoda; Malacostraca; Amphipoda; Allocrangonyctidae
Description: tRNA-Thr
Rfam family: tRNA
About the family: Transfer RNA (tRNA) molecules are approximately 80 nucleotides in length. Their secondary structure includes four short double-helical elements and three loops (D, anti-codon, and T loops).
Source: RNAcentral
GUCUUUAUAGUUUAAUAAAAAACAUUAGUCUUGUAAACUAAAAUUGUCACAACUAAAGGCU